GUGGAUUAGAUACCCUAGUAGUCCACGCCGUAAACGAUGAUCACUCGCUGUUAGCGAUACACAGUUAGCGGCUAAGCAAAAGCAUUAAGUGAUCCACCUGGGGAGUACGGCCGCAAGGCUGAAACUCAAAGGAAUUGACGGGGGCCCGCACAAGCGGAGGAACAUGUGGUUUAAUUCGAUGAUACGCGAGGAACCUUACCUGGGCUUAAAUGUAGAGUGCAUGAGGUAGAAAUACUUCUUUCCUUCGGGACUCUUUGCAAGGUGCUGCACGGCCGUCGCCAACU
Molecule: ribosomal RNA, 284 nt
Filed under: uncultured bacterium
Lineage: Bacteria
Description: partial 16S ribosomal RNA
Rfam family: Bacterial small subunit ribosomal RNA
Source: RNAcentral